This 253-nucleotide ribosomal RNA is filed under the name uncultured bacterium. Its description in RNAcentral is "partial 16S ribosomal RNA". It matches the Rfam family "Bacterial small subunit ribosomal RNA", at positions 524 to 776 of the family's 1533-position model. The record is from RNAcentral.
UACGUAGGGGGCAAGCGUUGUCCGGAUUUAUUGGGCGUAAAGCGCGUGUAGGUGGCCAUGUAGGGCCGCUGUGAAAACUUGAGGCUCAACCUCAAGCUGUCGGUGGAAACCACAUGGCUAGAGUCCGGAAGAGGAGAGUGGAAUUCCUGGUGUAGCGGUGAAAUGCGCAGAUAUCAGGAAGAACACCAAUGGCGAAGGCAGCUCUCUGGGACGGUACUGUCACUGAGACGCGAAAGCGUGGGGAGCGAACAGG